RNAcentral lists this long non-coding RNA (615 nucleotides) under Trifolium pratense (red clover). RNAcentral describes it as "long non-coding RNA (TPRA_LNC012559)". Lineage: Eukaryota; Viridiplantae; Streptophyta; Magnoliopsida; Fabales; Fabaceae. The record is from RNAcentral.
GGACCUAAGGAUAUAGGAUAGCUCACAAUCUUUAUUCUUCUUACUUCUCUAGCUAAUUCUCUAAAACACAAACUUUUCAAAAUGGCCGACAAUGCAAUGUUAAAGACACUAAAAGAAUUUGAUUUGAAGAUCCAAGGAAUUGAUUCCUUAAUUGAUUGCAAAAGUAGAAUGAUAACUCAAUUAACUUUGGAUGCUGUUAAUCCCCCUAAUAGGGAGGAAAUUGAAGCUAGGCUUACUACUGCAAUGGAGGAGCUUGAUGAACUAGCAAAACAGCGCCAAGUUCUUGUCGCCAACAAACAUGCUUUGGCAAGUGGUCAUAUGAAUAAUUAAUUAUUCAUGAGCCUGGCACCACAACAAACAACAAUAGACUAUCUUUCUUUCUUUUUUUUUCUUUUUUAGUUAGUAGACUAUUUCAUUUUGAGGCUAGUAUCUAGUAUUUCAUUUUUGAACUACUAGGUACUUGAUUACUACUAAAUAACCUUGAAUUGAAAUAGUCUUUAAUUUGUAAUGUCUAGAUUUAAUCUAGUCUUUGUUUGUUGUUUGUCUUGAUUUCAAAUGUACUACUGUUUGUUGUUAUAAGUUGUGGUAUUAUAUCUAAUUUAUUUUCUUUUGUUA